GGAUGUGAAGGUGAUCUCACUGUGACAUCAGUCACCCUAUUGGUUGCCAGGGUUGAUUCAGCCACUGGCUCAGUGGGAGUCUCUUCCCUCACUAUGCUAUGUGAAUCCCUUCUGAAGCUGAGCCACACCAGCGAAAGAGGAGUUUCUCUACCAACAGAGAAAUAUGAAUAUUAUGAUCCUCUGCUAGAACCACCAAAUAAGCUCUCACAAGGAACAGGUGUCUCAUAGAAACAUUAGACAGUGAAGAUAGACGAAAAAGUACAUAUCAUCCAAACAAUUAUUAAAUGAAUAUUGAUAUAUUCUCAUUUUCUCU
Dipodomys ordii (Ord's kangaroo rat) is the source of this 313-nucleotide non-coding RNA. NCBI's taxonomy places the organism in Eukaryota, Metazoa, Chordata, Mammalia, Rodentia, Heteromyidae. The record is from Rfam.